This 874-nucleotide long non-coding RNA is filed under the name Coffea arabica (coffee). RNAcentral describes it as "long non-coding RNA (CARA_LNC006978)". Lineage: Eukaryota; Viridiplantae; Streptophyta; Magnoliopsida; Gentianales; Rubiaceae. The record is from RNAcentral.
UUUUCUUUUUGAAGUCUUGGCACUGGCAUAGCUACAAUGUGUCAUUAAUUUGCCCUUUAUGAUUGAGUGUUAUGGAUGUGUAGUUUAUCAUUUUGAGAACAGGAGUGUAUGGAAAUGUAGAUUCACAUUUUUGUUUUUCAGUUUCUCGCGUCUUCUUUUGUUUUGUACAAAGAAACUAAUGGCGACUUACUGAUGGCCCAAAAUUCAUCAAGUACUUGCUACUCAAGAACAUCGUUUCAGUGAUUCUAUAUUCUCGGACCGCAGGAAUGGAAAUACGGGUAUAGAAAAUAGAAACGCUGCAGAAGCAAUCAAAAUCUUUUUCAUCAAAGCUGCAGAAGAAGGAUGGGACAACAUAGUCAUUGAAUUGUACUGUAAGCAAGUAGUAGUUGAGAGAACCUUGGAAGGAUGUGUACAGUGGAAACAUGAUGCAUGCACGGUAAACAGUAAAGCCAUUGACUCAUUUUACUUAGGCUUCAUGUCUUGAAUGCAAACUGCAAAGUUGCCGUUUUUGAAAGGGGGGAAAAGAAAAGAAAAAGUUAUAGUUAUACCAUGCAAUAGUAGGCCUAAUAAUGACCUGCGGGAUAGUCUAACUGAACAGAGGUGAUCAUGAGAAGCUUCCACUCUUACUGCGCAUAACUACAUGAAUGGCAAUAAACUGAACAUCAUGUACAUGGUUCCUUAUCCGGUAAUCUCUGAAACCAACAACCGUUGUGGCUGUUGUUGGCCAGGGGCUUUGCACCAUGCCUGGCAAACCAGGGCUCGAAGCUAAGCUAGCUGCCAGGUUGGGGGAAGGGAGGGAUUAGGGGAGAGGGGAAGGUUAAAAAAAAAAAGAGAGAGAACUUUGAAUUUAUUUCACUUCCAACUUUCAAGUUCC